GUUGGGGUGUGAAGCCAGGACCUAUCAACUCUAUGAUCUUCACUAAGCCGGUACCAAAUAGGAUGGCCCAGACUGGAGUACGGAGUGGAUUCUACAGAGGCAUUGUGGGUCCAUUACCAGAUCCCUGACCUGACAAGCCCCUUUGUGGAAAGUGCCUUUGGGCUGGUGCAGGAGGGCAGUGUUCUGUCAUGUCAGCAGCCGGUUUUGACAACCCGGUACAUCACACUACACCGUGAUGCACCACCAACACCGCACUUGCCUCUGGAGGGUAUGACAUCAAGGAAACCCUGCUCGCUCAGACAGCCUGUGAUAUUUUCUCAAACCGCUGCGCUGAACAAGUUUCCAAAGAACAUGCUGUGUGACACAAUAAAUAUCCUUUAACCUGUUAACCUGUGGCUUCUGGAAGAAACUCGGGUGAGUCAGUCACUGCAAACACAUUUGUAUCAUCAAGUGUUUGUCAAAUGAAAAUGAUAUGUUUUUCUACACUUAGGAUAAUUUUCUAUGUUGCAGUGCAGUAAAGUGCAUGUUUCUUCUGUGUUCAAUCAUACAUGUUCUAAUUGUUAUAAACAGAAAAAAUCUUUUCUUACUUAACUGCUUGAUUCUUAACUUGUUUAACUGAAACAUGAUGAAAUGUCAUAGUAUUAUUUUUUUUAAAUGUCCUUGGCAGUGCAUGUGUCCGCAUUGUAACUUACUAAUAAAAAGUCCUGUGUGUA
Molecule: long non-coding RNA, 713 nt
Organism: Oreochromis aureus
Lineage: Eukaryota; Metazoa; Chordata; Actinopteri; Cichliformes; Cichlidae
Exons: 2
Source: RefSeq, a predicted model, not a curated record